CCUACGGGUGGCUGCAGUGAGGAAUAUUGGUCAAUGGACGAGAGUCUGAACCAGCCAAGUAGCGUGAAGGAUGACUGCCCUAUGGGUUGUAAACUUCUUUUAUAAAGGAAUAAAACGAGGCACGUGUGCCUUUUUGCAUGUACUUUAUGAAUAAGGAUCGGCUAACUCCGUGCCAGCAGCCGCGGUAAUACGGAGGAUCCGAGCGUUAUCCGGAUUUAUUGGGUUUAAAGGGAGCGUAGAUGGGUUGUUAAGUCAGUUGUGAAAGUUUGGGGCUCAACCGUAAAAUUGCAAUUGAUACUGGCAGGCUUGAGUAUAGUAGAGGUAGGCAGAAUUCGUGGUGUAGCGGUGAAAUGCUUAGAUAUCACGAAGAACCCCGAUUGCGAAGGCAGCUCACUGGACUGAAACUGACACUGAGGUGCGAAAGUGUGGGGAUCAAACAGGAUUAGAUACCCGAGUAGUC
Molecule: ribosomal RNA, 460 nt
Filed under: uncultured bacterium
Lineage: Bacteria
Description: partial 16S ribosomal RNA
Rfam family: Bacterial small subunit ribosomal RNA
Source: RNAcentral